CAGUAGCCGCGGGAAUACGGAGGAUCCAAGCGUUAUCCGGAAUCAUUGGGUUUAAAGGGUCCGUAGGCGUUCUUGUAAGUCAGUGGUGAAAGCCCAUCGCUCAACGGUGGAACGGCCAUUGAUACUGCAGGACUUGAAUUAUUGGGAAGUAACUAGAAUAUGUAGUGUAGCGGUGAAAUGCUUAGAGAUUACAUGGAAUACCAAUUGCGAAGGCAGGUUACUACCAAUUGAUUGACGCUGAUGGACGAAAGCGUGGGUAGCGAACAGGAUUAGAUACCCGCGUAGUCCCUGUCUCUUAUAC
RNAcentral lists this ribosomal RNA (301 nucleotides) under uncultured bacterium. RNAcentral describes it as "partial 16S ribosomal RNA". It matches the Rfam family "Bacterial small subunit ribosomal RNA", at positions 509 to 807 of the family's 1533-position model. The record is from RNAcentral.